Molecule: small nucleolar RNA, 129 nt
Organism: Jaculus jaculus (lesser Egyptian jerboa)
Lineage: Eukaryota; Metazoa; Chordata; Mammalia; Rodentia; Dipodidae
Product: small nucleolar RNA SNORA33
Exons: 1
Source: RefSeq, a predicted model, not a curated record
GAACCAGCUAAUUAAUCUGCUUAUCUGAAUGUGUUUCUGCAGAAAUUUAGAGACAGCCAGCAAUAACAAUGCCAUUUUAUGAGCCUUAAGGACAAUUGAUGUCAUUAUGUUCCCCAAAUGACUACAAUA